AGGGAAAACAGCCUAUUUUCUAGGCUGCUGGUAAUAAUUUCAGGGAACAGAUCAGUCCCAAAUGAUAAAGUCAUCAGGAAAAAGAAAAAAAAAAAAAACCUAAGAAAAAAAAGAAAAAAAAAAGAAUAUUGCUCUCUGGAAGAUCUGAGUUAGUCUUUUAGAGAAUUGAUUCUGUAACCAAUAUCUCUUACGGUGAUGGAGGACUUUGUUUUCUUUGUUUCAGAUUUAUUAGAAAAAAAUAUAAUGAGAACUUAAAAUUCAAGGUUUUGGAGGCAGAGGAUUUGCUAUUUUUUAAUCAGAAUGAAAAAGAAAGGAUCUAGAUUUAGAAAAAUUAUUCUAAUUACUUUAAUUGUAGUAACUCUAAAUUAGACCUUAAGUGUCUGAAAUCAUAUUCUUUUUCAAUAGUGUUGCAUAGGUACAACUUCAGGAUGAAAUGAUUUUAAAGAAAGCAUUCCACGCGGAUGGAACAGAAGCUGUGGUCUCCAAAGAAGAGGCAUCCUGAGCCAUCCUGAAACAGGGGAAGAACUGACAAUAGCAUCCCUUCUCCUUGCUAUCUCUUGCUGAUCUCAUCUUUCAACUUCACUAGAGCUGAUUUCACAGAGGAGAAAUCUGAUAGCCAAAACAUCAGAGGCAGAUAUUGGUGGUAUGUCAGUAGAGGCUGAACCUGCCCAACAGUACUCCAUUCCAUGUUGUUGCUGUGUGACAGAUGGCAGCAGAGGGGCCUGACAAAAUGGCGUCUGACAUGGAAAUGUGUGCAAAGCAAAGGUGUGUCAUUGAAUUCCUCCAUGCAGAAACAGUGGCACCCACUGACAUUCAUGGACGCUUGCUGAACGUUUAUGGAGACCAAACAGUGGAUGUGAGCACAAUGAAGGGGUGGGUGGUGUGUUUCAGCUUGGACGUGGCAACAAAAGCAGUGGGUUGCCUCUGCUGGUGCAGUAUUUUAUCUGUGCAACACAUAGGCUCUUGUUCCUUGCUGGCAAAGAUGCACAGGUAAUGGUGGUGACUAUGUUGAAAAAUCAUGUUUUGUAGCUGAAAAUUUGCUCUACCAAAUAGUGUUAUUUUGCUCUUUGUAUCUGCUGUAGUUUCCAAAAAAAUAAGAAGGAGGCAUUACUUUCGGAGCGACCAACAUACCAUUCUUCCAGCACUUCGCAGAGUCGCACAAUGGCUUUUGGGUCGGAAGGGACCUUAAAGAUCACCCCGUUUCCUGGGCCCCUUCCCGAUUUUCCUCAUAGCCGGCAGCUAGCGGGCAGGUCCCGCCUCAGGCCGGCAGACGCGACAAGCUCGGCAGCCUUAUGAAGCUAAAAAUGCACAUAUAUAUAUAUAUAUUCGUAUAU
Long non-coding RNA from Gallus gallus (chicken), 1334 nucleotides. The record is from Ensembl. Lineage: Eukaryota; Metazoa; Chordata; Aves; Galliformes; Phasianidae.